RNAcentral lists this long non-coding RNA (1556 nucleotides) under Ananas comosus (pineapple). RNAcentral describes it as "long non-coding RNA (ACOM_LNC016110)". The record is from RNAcentral. Lineage: Eukaryota; Viridiplantae; Streptophyta; Magnoliopsida; Poales; Bromeliaceae.
AGGACUUCAUAUAUAGCUAUAUAUACAGAAUAAAAUAUUAGUUCAAUUAUUGACCGUCUCUGAAGCAAGUGGAAAAGAUUGAGCUUGGUAGUUGGUACCCGAUAUACCAAGUUUGAAUCCUAGUUGAUUCACAUUUCCAACUAAAUUUAUUUUUAAAUGAAAUAAACGAGCCCGUUGUCAUCCCCUUUUUUUUUAUGAUAGAGCUUUCAAAUUGACGACUGGUACCGUUGAACAUGAUCUAUACCAUUUGAAGUAUUUAAAAAUCAAAUUUUUUUCGACAUCAUUAACCUAAUGAUCAAAGGGUUUGAAAAGUUAUAAUCUUGAUGGCCGAGACAUUUUUUCGUUUAACACUGUAAAAAUAUCCAAAUUAAUUGAAUCUUUGUUAGAAGAUAUGAGGCGUAGUUUAGUUAUUGACCGCCUCUGGAGCAAGUGGCAAAUGGCUUGGUAGUUGGUACCCGAUAUCCCAAGUUCGAAUCCUAGUUGAUUCACAUUUCCGAUGUCCCAAGUUCGAAUCCUAGUUGAUUCACAUUUCCAGCUAAAUUUAUUUCUAAAUGAAAUAAACGGACCUGUUGUCAUCCUUCUUUUUUUUUUACGAAAAACUUCAAAAACCCCCCCUGUGGUUUCGUAGUUUUUCACUUUGUCCCACUGUUGUUUAAAAUGUAUCAAUUUGCCCCCCUAUGGUUUCUUUUUUCUCUUUUUCUUCUCAAUUUCAUUAUUUUUUUUCUUAAAUCAGUGAUAAAGUUAAUUUAAAGGGUACUAAAGUGAAUAUUUGAUAAAUCUAGAUGGGUAUCUCAAGUUUUUUGUAUAUAAUUUAAUGAAAUAUUAACGAAAAAGCUACCGAAAAGAUAAAAACGAAACCACAGGGGGGCAAUUUGAUACAUUUUAAACCAUGGGGGGUAAAGUGAGAAACUACGAAACCACAGGGGGUUUUCUGAAGUUUUUCCCCUUUUUAUGAUAGAGCUUUCAAAUUGACGACCGGUACCGUUGAACAUGAUCUAUACCACUUGAAGUAUUUAAAAAUCAAAUUUUAAAGUUUUACGACAUCAUUAACUUAAUGAUCAAAGGGUUUCAAAAGUUAUAAUCUUAAUGGCCGAUAUGAGAUAUUUUUUCGUUUAAUAGUGUAAAAAUAUCCAAAUCAAUUAAAUCUUGGUUAUAAGAUAUGAGGCGUUUUCUUGUUUAACGGUGUUAAAAUAUCCAAAUCAAUUGAAUCUUGGUUAAAAAAUUCUUUAAACUAUUUAGAAUAAGAUCUAUACUCUCGAUCUUAAUUAUAAGAAUUCUAUCAUUAUUUUUUAAAAGAUAUCCAUUUUCAGCCGUUCAUUUUGUGUCCACCUGAUGGACAAGAGAACAAUAUUUGAAAAGCAUGAAAUUUAAUUUCUAAAUACUUCAAGUGGUAUAGAUCAUAUUCAACGAUGCCGAUUGUCGAUUUGGAGUCUCCAUUAUCGAAAAUAAAUGAAUAACAACAAAGCCUGUUUGCUACCGAUAGCAUUGCACCUCAACUCUCUCUCUCUAUAUAUUUAUAUAUUCAUGCAAAAUGGCCAACAUAAAUUAAAUACUUC